This 504-nucleotide ribosomal RNA is filed under the name uncultured bacterium. RNAcentral's name for it is "partial 16S ribosomal RNA". It matches the Rfam family "Bacterial small subunit ribosomal RNA", at positions 29 to 523 of the family's 1533-position model. The record is from RNAcentral.
AUUGAACGCUGGCGGCAGGCCUAACACAUGCAAGUCGGACGGUAGCACAGAGAGCUUGCUCUCGGGUGACGAGUGGCGGACGGGUGAGUAAUGUCUGGGGAUCUGCCCGAUAGAGGGGGAUAACCACUGGAAACGGUGGCUAAUACCGCAUAACGUCGCAAGACCAAAGAGGGGGACCUUCGGGCCUCUCACUAUCGGAUGAACCCAGAUGGGAUUAGCUAGUAGGCGGGGUAAUGGCCCACCUAGGCGACGAUUCCUAGCUGGUCUGAGAGGAUGACCAGCCACACUGGAGCUGAGACACGGUCCAGACUCCUACGGGAGGCAGCAGUGGGGAAUAUUGCACAAUGGGCGCAAGCCUGAUGCAGCCAUGCCGCGUGUAUGAAGAAGGCCUUCGGGUUGUAAAGUACUUUCAGCGGGGAGGAAGGCGGUGCGGUUAAUAACCGCGCCGAUUGACGUUACCCGCAGAAGAAGCACCGGCUAACUCCGUGCCAGCCGCCGCCGUAA